CGACGGGUAGCCGGCCUGAGAGGGUGACCGGCCACACUGGGACUGAGACACGGCCCAGACUCCUACGGGAGGCAGCAGUGGGGAAUAUUGCACAAUGGGCGAAAGCCUGAUGCAGCAACGCCGCGUGAGGGACGACGGCCUUCGGGUUGUAAACCUCUUUUAGCAGGGAAGAAGCGAAAGUGACGGUACCUGCAGAAAAAGCACCGGCUAACUACGUGCCAGCAGCCGCGGUAAUACGUAGGGUGCAAGCGUUAUCCGGAAUUAUUGGGCGUAAAGAGCUCGUAGGCGGUUUGUCGCGUCUGCUGUGAAAACCCGAGGCUCAACCUCGGGCCUGCAGUGGGUACGGGCAGACUAGAGUGCGGUAGGGGAGAUUGGAAUUCCUGGUGUAGCGGUGGAAUGCGCAGAUAUCAGGAGGAACACCGAUGGCGAAGGCAGAUCUCUGGGCCGUAACUGACGCUGAGGAGCGAAAGGGUGGGGAGCAAACAGGCUUAGAUACCCUGGUAGUCCACCCCGUAAACGUUGGGAACUAGUUGUGGGGACCAUUCCACGGUUUCCGUGACGCAGCUAACGCAUUAAGUUCCCCGCCUGGGGAGUACGGCCGCAAGGCUAAAACUCAAAGGAAUUGACGGGGACCCGCACAAGCGGCGGAGCAUGCGGAUUAAUUCGAUGCAACGCGAAGAACCUUACCAAGGCUUGACAUAUACGAGAACGGGCCAGAAAUGGUCAACUCUUUGGACACUCGUAAACAGGUGGUGCAUGGUUGUCGUCAGCUCGUGUCGUGAGAUGUUGGGUUAAGUCCCGCAACGAGCGCAACCCUCGUUCUAUGUUGCCAGCACGUAAUGGUGGGAACUCAUGGGAUACUGCCGGGGUCAACUCGGAGGAAGGUGGGGAUGACGUCAAAUCAUCAUGCCCCUUAUGUCUUGGGCUUCACGCAUGCUACAAUGGCCGGUACAAUGGGCUGCAAUACCGUAAGGUGGAGCGAAUCCCAAAAAGCCGGUCCCAGUUCGGAUUGAGGUCUGCAACUCGACCUCAUGAAGUCGGAGUCGCUAGUAAUCGCAGAUCAGCAACGCUGCGGUGAAUACGUUCCCGGGUCUUGUACACACCGCCCGUCAAGUCAUGAAAGUCGGUAACACCUGAAGCCGGUGGCCCAACCCUUGUGGAGGGAGCCGUCGAAGGUGGGAUCGGUAAUUAGGACUAAGUCGUAACAAGGUAGCCGUACCGGAAGGUGCGGCUG
This 1234-nucleotide ribosomal RNA is filed under the name soil metagenome. Its description in RNAcentral is "bacterial SSU rRNA". It matches the Rfam family "Bacterial small subunit ribosomal RNA", at positions 277 to 1520 of the family's 1533-position model. RNAcentral also lists the same sequence under 1 other name. The record is from RNAcentral.